GGAAUUAGUCUGGCAAGUA
Molecule: unclassified non-coding RNA, 19 nt
Filed under: Mus musculus (house mouse)
Lineage: Eukaryota; Metazoa; Chordata; Mammalia; Rodentia; Muridae
Description: oocyte_clustered_small_RNA13007
Source: RNAcentral